This 330-nucleotide ribosomal RNA is filed under the name uncultured bacterium. RNAcentral describes it as "bacterial SSU rRNA". It matches the Rfam family "Bacterial small subunit ribosomal RNA", at positions 568 to 898 of the family's 1533-position model. The record is from RNAcentral.
UGCGCAGGCGGCUCCUUAAGUCAGAUGUGAAAUCCCCGGGCUUAACCUGGGAACUGCGUUUGAAACUGGGGAGCUAGAGUGUGGAAGAGGGGGGUGGAAUUCCAGGUGUAGCAGUGAAAUGCGUAGAGAUCUGGAGGAACACCGAUGGCGAAGGCAGCCCCCUGGGCUAACACUGACGCUCAUGCACGAAAGCGUGGGGAGCAAACAGGAUUAGAUACCCUGGUAGUCCACGCCCUAAACGAUGUCAACUGGUUGUCGGGGAAGCAAUUCCUUGGUAACGAAGCUAACGCGUGAAGUUGACCGCCUGGGGAGUACGGCCGCAAGGUUAAA